UCUACAGUGUAGCGGUUAGCACAUCGGAUUCUGAACAUCAGAAGCUUCCGGUAACCCCGGUUCGAUUCCGGGUACGAC
Coniosporium uncinatum is the source of this 78-nucleotide non-coding RNA. Lineage: Eukaryota; Fungi; Ascomycota; Dothideomycetes. The record is from the annotation of a GenBank genome assembly.